Long non-coding RNA from Rattus rattus (black rat), 359 nucleotides. RefSeq lists it as uncharacterized. The record is from RefSeq and is a predicted model, not a curated record. Lineage: Eukaryota; Metazoa; Chordata; Mammalia; Rodentia; Muridae. The transcript has 2 exons.
ACAGGGCCUCGAGGAGAUGACACACCGCAAAGUUCCAUUUGUGAGGAGUACCAGGACCCUGCCAGGAGGCUGGACAGACAGCGGGUUCAGUGAAUUCGACUCAGGUCGUCAGAUUUGGUGACAAGUGUCUUUACCUGCCAAGCCCUCUCACUGGCCCUGGUGUGUGACCCUGGUGUGUGGCCCUGGUGUGUCGUCUUUCAGCAAGUGGACUGUAGCUCAGUAAAGUUGCUAUGUGCAAGCAAAUUCCUUCACAGGGCUUCCCACAGUCAUUAAAGCCAAAAAUACUAAACCAAACCAAACCCCUUCCCAUGACAGUCUCCAGAAGACUCCAUUACUGAAUAAAAGAUAUUUUGAUUUUU